RNAcentral lists this ribosomal RNA (253 nucleotides) under uncultured bacterium. Its description in RNAcentral is "partial 16S ribosomal RNA". It matches the Rfam family "Bacterial small subunit ribosomal RNA", at positions 524 to 776 of the family's 1533-position model. The record is from RNAcentral.
UACGGAGGGGGCUAGCGUUGCUCGGAAUUACUGGGCGUAAAGCGCACGUAGGCGGCUUUGUAAGUUAGAGGUGAAAGCCCAGGGCUUAACCCUGGAAUUGCCUUUAAGACUGCAUCGCUAGAAUCGUGGAGAGGUGAGUGGAAUUCCGAGUGUAGAGGUGAAAUUCGUAGAUAUUCGGAAGAACACCAGUGGCGAAGGCGACUCACUGGACACGUAUUGACGCUGAGGUGCGAAAGCGUGGGGAGCAAACAGG